UAGUGAAGACUGUGGCCAUUAAUCUUCUGCCCUCCAUAGACCCUUGCUAAUGUCAAUAAAAUGGUCUAAUGGUACACAUAUAAGGUAAAAAUGUGUCCCAGUACUGAAGGGUUAAAAUCCAUUGAGUUUUAUCAUUGUAACUGCAAAAAUAAGGUUAAGAAGACUGUUUCAUCAUAUAUAGAGCCGAGUGUGCAUACUAUUUAAAAAUCGGACAUUAAAAGCAACCCUAACAGUAAAUAAACUCGUGAAGAAAUAAGAGUGAAAAAGUAACAAUAGUAAUAAUGAGAAUCGUAAAAAAGAAUAAAUGAAUAAUAUGUAGAGCCGAAUGUACAUACUAUAUCAAAACAAAACAUUAAAACCAACUAUAGUAAUAACUAAACCCAUGAAUAAAUGAAGAUGUAAAAGUUGAACAUAACCAAAAUCAUAAAGAAAAGAAAUAAAUAGAGAAUGAAGGAGCCGAAAGUACACACUAUUCAAACCAAAGCAUUAAAACCAACAAUAAUAAAUAAACCCAUAAAAAAAUAAAGAAAUAAAAACCAACAAUAAUAAUCUUAAUCAUAAAAGGAAAUAAAUAAAUAAAAAGAGCCGAAAGUAAUAAGAAAAUCGAAACUGCUCUUCCUUGUACACCAACCAAAACAAACCCAGCCGGCCGAGGGGAAUUUUGUCUUUUUUCCCUUUAUUUCCCUGUAACGAUCUUGCUGCGUCACUGCCACUUGUUCCCCUCGCGGCCCGCCCUCAUGUGAAGAUCGCACUUUCAAGAGAAGACGCGCUACCGAAUUGGCCGUGCAGCAGCUCAGGGAGGAGGAAGGUGCCUGAAGGAACAUUGUGGGAAAGUGACGCAAGACAGUGAGAGAGAGAGAGAGAGAGAGAGAGAGAGAGAGAGAGAGAAAGGAGAAAAACAAGAGAAA
Molecule: long non-coding RNA, 908 nt
Organism: Portunus trituberculatus (swimming crab)
Lineage: Eukaryota; Metazoa; Arthropoda; Malacostraca; Decapoda; Portunidae
Exons: 2
Source: RefSeq, a predicted model, not a curated record